Molecule: transfer RNA, 72 nt
Filed under: Camelus bactrianus (Bactrian camel)
Lineage: Eukaryota; Metazoa; Chordata; Mammalia; Artiodactyla; Camelidae
Also listed under: 2 other names
Rfam family: tRNA
About the family: Transfer RNA (tRNA) molecules are approximately 80 nucleotides in length.
Source: Rfam by way of RNAcentral
GAGGGUAUAGCUCAGUGGCAGAGUGUGUGCUUAGCAGGCACAAGGUCCUGGGUUCAAUCCCCAGUGCCUCCA